Molecule: ribosomal RNA, 497 nt
Filed under: uncultured bacterium
Lineage: Bacteria
Description: partial 16S ribosomal RNA
Rfam family: Bacterial small subunit ribosomal RNA
Source: RNAcentral
GAUGAACGCUGGCGGCGUGCCUAAUACAUGCAAGUCGAGCGAACAGACGAGGAGCUUGCUCCUCUGACGUUAGCGGCGGACGGGUGAGUAACACGUGGAUAACCUACCUAUAAGACUGGGAUAACUUCGGGAAACCGGAGCUAAUACCGGAUAAUAUAUUGAACCGCAUGGUUCAAUAGUGAAAGACGGUUUUGCUGUCACUUAUAGAUGGAUCAGCGCCGCAUGAGCUAGUUGGUAAGGUAACGGCUUACCAAGGCAACGAUGCGUAGCCGACCCGAGAGGGUGAUCCGCCACCCUGGAACUGAGACACGGUCCAGACUCCUACGGGAGGCAGCAGUAGGGAAUCUUCCGCAAUGGACGAAAGCCUGACGGAGCAACGCCGCGUGAGUGAUGAAGGUCUUCGGAUCGUAAAACGCUGUUAUUAGGGAAGAACAUAUGUGUAAGUAACUGUGCACAUCUUGACGGUACCUAAUGAGAAAGCCCCGGCUAACUACGUG